This 855-nucleotide long non-coding RNA is filed under the name Parus major (Great Tit). Its description in RNAcentral is "lncRNA (ENSPMJG00000004129.1)". Lineage: Eukaryota; Metazoa; Chordata; Aves; Passeriformes; Paridae. The record is from RNAcentral.
GCUGUGCUGAGAGUUUGGGGUUCCCCAUCCCCACAAUGCUGAGUUUGGGGUUCCCCAUCCCCUCUGUGCUGAGAGUUUGGGGUUCCCCGUCCCCGCAGUUUUUGGGCUGUGCAGAAGAGCUCACAGCAGCCCCUGGUGUUGGUGUUGAACCUCCACGUUCCAAGGGAAUGGUUUUGGGGACCCCAAGCUCCUCAGGGAGGGAGGGGAUGAGGAGGAGAACGGGGAAUGUUCUCGAGUUGCCCAUCUGGGAUUUACGUCCGUGUCGAGUGAGUGAAUCUCCCUGUUCAGUGAUUUAUUUGGGAUCCCUGGGCAGGAGCAUCCUGAGCUCUGCUCCUCUGCUGAGCCCAGCACACCCAGAGGUUUUCUGGGCCAGCAGCAGCAGCUUCCCCCUGUUCUGGUUGAAGAAUUUCCCGUGGUUUCUCUUUGUGUCACUUUGUUUUCCCACGAGCCUGAGCAGGGUCGUGUGCUCUGCCCUCGCUCUCAGCCCACUGCUGCCUUUCUGCUUCUCAACAAUGAUUUCUUUUCCCCUUGGCUGCUCCUCCUGGCCACGCCUGGGCCAGAGGAACCACCAAGGUUUAUCCUCAAACUGGAACAAACCCAAAGGGAUGUGGAUUCUCCGCUGGGACGUGGACUCAGCCUUGUCUGGGGUUAAAAACCUGGAAAAACAUCCCCAGGUGGGAGAAGCGUCAGGGAUUUUUGGGAGUUGUUGGUUUCCCUGUUCUUCACGUCCGCAGGAAGUGGGUUCUGUGUGUCUCAUGUUUUAAGAGUUGCGACUAAUGUUUAUAAAGAGCUUGUUAUUUACGUUUGAAGCACUUUAAAAAAAAAAAUAAAAGUUGUUCAAGCUGUUCCUAGACA